CACCUGGCGCGAAAACCGGAGAAGAAUGGAGGUUUCAGCUGCUCCAGAAGUUAUAGGAUUCGGGAAUUAUACUGACUGAAGAAGAGACAAAGAGAUUCAGAGAUUUACAUUUUCUCACACUCUACAUUGUCACCUGGAGUCAGCUCUGUAACCGUGGCCCCAAGUUUUUGUGAUUUACAUUUUCUCACACUACAUUGUCACCUGGAGUCAGCUCUGUAACCGUGGGCCCAAGUUUUUGUGGAAAUGGCUGAGACCGAUUUCCUCAGUGCCAUGGAGAGAACAACAGUGGGGAUCUAUGUUGUGAAAGACACUGCCAGCAGUGAACCCUCUGAUGUCAGGAUAGUCCUCGAAGGUGUGAUGGUGCUUCAAGAUCUUGAGAAUGUAGCACUUGCUUCUGCAAUGUUGUUUGGGCUCUUAUGCCUUGAACAUGCAGCACCCUACAAAGCUCCGCUACACCUUUGAGGCAUUUCAAAAGAUCAUCAUGGAGCCUCAGCAUCAGACACUUAAUAAUAUGAGCCUGUCAGCUGCAAAAACAGAACUUUUAGUGACACUAACUGACCAUGCACAGUUGCCCUAUAUAACGUUGCAGCCCGGUUCACAGCAAUCUUGCUCAAUGCUGGACCAAUUUUCAUGAAUUAACCACUAGA
Osmerus eperlanus (European smelt) is the source of this 647-nucleotide long non-coding RNA. RefSeq lists it as uncharacterized. The transcript has 4 exons. Lineage: Eukaryota; Metazoa; Chordata; Actinopteri; Osmeriformes; Osmeridae. The record is from RefSeq and is a predicted model, not a curated record.